CACAAGCGGUGGAGCAUGUGGUUUAAUUUCGAAGCAACGCAAGAACCUUACCAGGCCUUGACAUGCAGAGAACUUUCCAGAGAUGGAUUGGUGCCUUCGGGAACUCUGACACAGGUGCUGCAUGGCUGCCGUCAGCUCGUGUCGUGAGAUGUUGGGUUAAGUCCCGUAACGAGCGCAACCCUUGUCCUUAGUUACCAGCACGUUAUGGUGGGCACUCUAAGGAGACUGCCGGUGACAAACCGGAGGAAGGUGGGGAUGACGUCAAGUCAUCAUGGCCCUUACGGCCUGGGCUACACACGUGCUACAAUGGUCGGUACAAAGGGUUGCCAAGCCGCGAGGUGGAGCUAAUCCCAUAAAACCGAUCGUAGUCCGGAUCGCAGUCUGCAACUCGACUGCGUGAAGUCGGAAUCGCUAGUAAUCGUGAAUCAGAAUGUCACGGUGAAUACGUUCCCGGGCCUU
This 459-nucleotide ribosomal RNA is filed under the name uncultured Pseudomonas sp. RNAcentral describes it as "bacterial SSU rRNA". It matches the Rfam family "Bacterial small subunit ribosomal RNA", at positions 924 to 1382 of the family's 1533-position model. The record is from RNAcentral. Lineage: Bacteria; Pseudomonadati; Pseudomonadota; Gammaproteobacteria; Pseudomonadales; Pseudomonadaceae.